AAGGAUCAUUAUCAAAUAGCGUAGGGGGUAAAAUCCCAGCGUCUAUAUCCUCUGAUUAUAUACCUCUGUUGCUUUGGCGGACCGGGCGUCAUGCCCCGGCGGUCAGGUUCCCCUGCCUGCCGAGCGUCCGUCAGAGACCCCAUUAAACCCCUUAUAACUAUAUUGUCUGAAGAAAAACAUAAUAGCUAAAACUUUCAACAACGGAUCUCUUGGUUCUGCCAUCGAUGAAGAACGCAGCGAAAUGCGAUAAGUAAUGUGAAUUGCAGAAAUCGUGAAUCACCGAAUCUUUGAACGCACAUUGCGCCCUCUGGUAUUCCGGGGGGCAUGCCUGUUCGAGCAUCAGUACGACCACAAGCUCAGCUUGGUAUUGGUGGUCGCCCUCCCGGGGGCGUCACCUAAAAUCAGCGGCGUAGCUGCCUGGCUCCUAAGCGUAGUAACAUUUUCUCGCUUUGGGCUCCAGGUGGAUUACUGCCGGACAAUCAACUAUUUUUUACACGUUGAUCUCGGAUCAGGUAGGGAUACCCGCUGAACUUAAGCAUAUUAAUAAGCGGAGGAAAAGAAACCAACAGGGAUUGCCCUAGUAACGGCGAGUGAAGCGGCAACAGCUCAAAUUUGAAAGCUGGCCUUUGGCCCGCAUUGUAAUUUGCAGAGGAUGAUUCGGGUGCGAUACCUGGCUAAGUCCCUUGGAAACAGGGCGUCAUAGAGGGUGAUAAUCCCGUAUGUGCCAGGCCGUCUAUCCCUUGUGAAUCUCCUUCGACGAGUCGAGUUGUUUGGGAAUGCAGCUCUAAAUGGGUGGUAAAUGCCAUCUAAAGCUAAAUACCGGGCAGAGACCGAUAGCGCACAAGUAGAGUGAUCGAAAGAUGAAAAGCACUUUGAAAAGAGAGUCAAAAAGUACGUGAAAUUGUUGAAAGGGAAGCGCUUGCAACCAGACUUGCCCGGGGGGUUCAGCCGUGCUUCUGUACGGUGUAUUUCCCCUCGGACAGGCCAGCAUCAGUUUUGGCAGCUGGAUAAAGGCGCCGGGAACGUAGCACCUCUCGGGGUGUGUUAUAGCCCGGCGUGUCAUACAGCUAGCUGGGACUGAGGACCGCGCAUUGCUAGGAUGCUGGCGUAAUGGUUGCCAGCGACC
RNAcentral lists this ribosomal RNA (1126 nucleotides) under uncultured Pezizomycotina. Its description in RNAcentral is "eukaryotic LSU rRNA". The stretch from base 499 to 1126 matches the Rfam family "Eukaryotic large subunit ribosomal RNA", at positions 1 to 649 of the family's 3401-position model. Lineage: Eukaryota; Fungi; Ascomycota. The record is from RNAcentral.